Molecule: long non-coding RNA, 4882 nt
Filed under: Nicotiana benthamiana
Lineage: Eukaryota; Viridiplantae; Streptophyta; Magnoliopsida; Solanales; Solanaceae
Description: long non-coding RNA (NBEN_LNC017106)
Source: RNAcentral
UCUACCCAAGACUGGACUCACUAACUCACGAUUGUCCAUAAAAUACUAAAUACAAAGUCUGAAUUAAACACAAUACUGUUUGUUCCAGUACAAGGACAACAAACGAAAAACAAAGAUAGAAGAGACUCCGAGCCAUGCGGACGUCAGCAAGGCUACCUCGAAAUCUCUGGAUUGAAUUCAGCUCCCACUCAACUACUGUUGUUGUCCAAAACCUGCUCCACCUCCGAAAUCUGUGCAAAACGAUGCACAGAGUGUAGCAUCAGCACAACCGACCCAUGUGCUGGUAAGUGCCUAGCCUAACCCCGGCGAAGUAGUGAUGAGGCUAGACCAGACUACCAUGUAAACUUGUGCAGUUAUAAAAUAUAUAUUGCGGAAAAGUAAAGAGGAUAUAAGUAGUUUAUAAAAGGAGGGGGAACAUGCUGGGGGAAGCAAUAGUUAUAAGUAAGAAGUCUAAUUUCAAAGAUAGUACAACCAACAGAAACUCAAAUCUGGAAGUAGCACAUUUAAUCUAUAAUUUGUAGCGGCGCGCAACCCGAUCGAAUCACUUAACAACACUAUUGUGGCAUGCAACCCGCUGCACAAUUAUCAUUGUUGGGCCGUGCAACCCGACACAUAUUUAUAGUAUUAUUGCGGUAUAUAUAUAUAUACACAGACACACACACACACACACAUACACACACUAAAACUUCUUCCAGGCAAUAGCCACAAACAAGGAGUAAGGGAGUAACAACUAGUGAUAGUUCCCGGCAAGGGAAUAUCACAACACAACUAAAUCCCGGCAAGGGAGAAAAAUCAACAAAACCAAUAAAACAUCCCUGCAAGGGAAAAAAAAUCAACUCUUCCACUUUCUCACACUUCUCACUUUACAAUUCACUUUAUCGUUCAAACAAUCUCUCCAAAGAGUCAUUUCAUAUCAUAUACCUUCUCAAUCUGUAACACAACUUGAGCUAAUGCUCCAUGGAGUAUAUAAUCAUAAUCUCUUUCUCAUGCUCUUUACAGUAUAUAGAAAUCAUCAAUUAAGCAUGGAAGAAUCACAACAAGUUCAGGGUAAAUCUCAAUAUAAGGAUACACGUUCAUGCUAGACAGUAGUGUAUAGAUGCUCAUCACCAUGCCUAUACACCGCACUCAACAAAUAACAAUUAGCAAAUAAGACUCUACUCCUAUUCCCUCAAGCCAAAGUUAGACCAAACACUAACCUCAACCUUCACGGCUAAAUCAAUCCCCAACGACCACUUUCCCUUUCGAAUUCGGCUCCAACUCAAUCAAAUAUAUGAAAUAAUGACUUUAUAAUAUAAAUAAUAGCUAAAUAAAUCAAACACAAUGCCUAAAUAUUGAUUCUCAACUUUUCUUCCAAAAAUUCCAAAAUUGAUCGGGCCCGCUAUUUCAACACACGAGGUUCGAACCAGUUCCAUAUCACCCAUUCACCCACGAGCCUGAAUAUACAAAUUGUUUUCAAAUUCGAUCCUAAAGAGGUCUAAAUAAAAGAAAGUUUAAAAUCCCUAACUCUACCCAUUUCCUCCAAUUUCAGCCCUAUAUUACAUGAUUUGAGCCUAGGAAUUUGAUAAAUGAUGAAGGAAAAUGAAGGAAACGGUUUAAAUAAUACUUACACAAGAACCUUUGGUGAAGAAGAGCUCCAGAAAUCACCCAUGGGCUGUGGAGAAGAGUAGUUCGUGUGUUUUUGGGUGAAAAAUCCCAUCAUUGUUCUAUUUUAAAACUUUAAAAUCACUGGGCGAAAAUUACCCUUUGUGUUCUUGGUAAGGGGAUUGCGUUUGCAAAGGGUUAUCAUAAAGGGAAUUAUGAAUGCAGACGUUCACAUGAAAGCCUAGAAGGAAAAGGGUUGGGGUCCUGGAAUUCCUCUACGAGAACGCAUGGACCCUAACGCGAACGCGGGGAAGGAAACAGCAAAGCUCGGGAUCGUGGUGGUAUGCACGCGAACACGAAGAAUAAAGUUAAGCUGGGCCUCUCAUGGUAAUUUAACCUUUGCUUUCACGAGGGCCCGAACGCAAACGCGAAGAAGGAAGGACACAAAGCUACGCGAACGCGAGGGAGAAAGUGUGAUCGCGAAGAAGGAAAUCCCUGAGAAAAAAAUAUCAGAUUUUUCUGAAACUUUCUACUAAGUUCAAAAUAUCCCGAACUGCCUGCGAAACACUCUCGAGCCCUCGGAGAUCCUAACCAAACACACACACUAACUCAACAACCUCAUACAAACUCAAUUGUGUGAUCAAAUUGCCAAAAUAACAUCAAGAACGAGGAAUCAAACCUCAAAAUCAUCACUUAUUCUUCAAACAUCAUAAACUUUCAUUUUUAGAUAUUUAGGUCCGAAACACGUUAAAUAACGUCUGAUUCCAUCCAAAUUUUGCAGGAGGUUCUUAAGCCACAUAUAAGACCUAUACCGGGCACCAAAACCAAAAUACGCCCCGAUACCAACACCAUCUAAUCAAUUUUCAUUUCAAAUUUACAUAUUAAUUUCAGAAAAAUAAUUUCUUUUAAAAAUUAAUUUCUCUGGCUCGGAACCUUGGAUUUCGAUUCCGGGCAUACGGCCGAGUCCUAUAUUUUUCUAUGGACCCUUCGAGACAGUCAAAUCAUGGGUCCAGGUUCGUUUAUCAAAAAUAUUGACCAAAAUCAAAUUUAAUCAUUUAAAGCCAAUUUUUAGCAAAUUUCAUAAAAUUUAACAUAUAAGCUUUCCGACUACAUGCUCAAUCUGUGCAUGAAAAUCGAGGCAAGUAAAAAUAUUUUCUAGGCCUCGAAAGCACGAAAAGAUAGAGAAAACAAAUGAUGAUCCUUUGGGUCAUCUCAAAAAGUUGGUGGUCAUACCUAGUAAUUAGAAGUGUUGGUACACCCCAACUAGCCUGUUAUCCAUAUUGUUUGGGAGUUAGGAUCCAUUAAAGGAUCAAGUCCGGACAUGAGAAACAAUUUGGAUGUUUCCAUGCUUUGAAUUUUGACUCAAACACAUAGAUGAGAAUGAGGGUAUGGGAUUCGCAACAGUAACAGAUGUAAAGAGAAUAGCAUAUUUAAUACUGAACAUAGACAGCAAAGUAGAUAAAAUUGUAGAAGCUGUAAAGCAAACACAUAGGGAUGAGAUAGAAAACAAAAAUAGAACAUACUAGUUUCAGGGAAACAAGGAAAGAAAAGCAAUAGUCUUGUAAAGCCAAAUCGCAAGCAAAUAGUCAGAAGAUCUUAGAAGAGAGUAGAGUGUUGAAUUGAGAGUGUAACGUGUAAGAGUAUUGAAAUUGAAGGUGUGUUCGAAAGAGAAGGGAUCGUGACAUUUUUAAAGUGUACAAAAGAGCAGAACUAGGUAAGAAAAUAAUUCAAAAAUCAAUUACAGAAGUUCCCCUUUUAAAUUAAGGGAUUCUGAUUUCAAUCGGGUAAAAGAUAAUUAAGGAGAAAGUUUGAUCAAAAUCUUUUCCAAAGCAGUACAAGAAAGGGAUACACAGAGGUUUAUUUAAGGCAAAAGUCUAGUAGUACACAGUUUGUGCCAAUAAGGAAAGGAAAUCAAUAAAUAACCAGUAAAUCACAAAGUUUGAGUUUUGGUAUGAAUAAAUCCACUCAGAAAAAGUAAAGAAAGGUUUUACUUAAAGAAGAUCAGUUACAAUCAAUCUAACCUUAUUUAAUAGAAUUAUGAAUAAAUCACAAGUUGAAAAACCCCCUUUGAAUUAAAAAAUUCCUCAUAUAUAAAGCAUGCAUACAUGUUAAACACAAAGAACUAUCAUGCCAAUUAGAAGAGUCUAGUAUAGAAAAGUUCAGGUCAUAAGCAAAGAGGUUCAAAUUUAGUACAUAGACUCAGAAUGAGUUUGAGAGAGUCCAGGGUUUCAAUCAGAACCCUAGUUCCAAACAAAAGAUCAAAACCCCCAAAUCCUAGGGUUUACUAUCGAGUCAGAUACAGAGAAGAGAAGACAAAUCAUUGAAACAGGCUCAGAGGUCUCUUUCAAAAACUUAUGAGAAAACAUAGAAUAGCAAGUUUGAAGUAACAGAGUGAAGAAAUUGAUUCGAAACAUAGUGAGAGUAAAAAAUACAUGUUUAAGAAGAAAGAAAAAAGAAACCUGAGACUAAAACAAAUUCAGAAAAGAUGGGAGAUAGUAUAGCACUUAAGAGAACAGUAGAAGAAACAUGUUUAAAAGAAUUCAAACAAAGUCCAGAAGAACGUAAAUAAAGAACUUAAGAACUCAGUAGGAAAUACAUACAGUAAAUGGGAUCAACAUACCAGAAGUAUAUCAACAAGACAUAUAGAAAAACACAACAGGAUGAACAUGUGAGCUUGGUGUAGAAGCACAGUAGAACACAAAGCACAGACGAAUCAUGUAUAGUAUAAAGAAAGCAGAAGAAAAUACAUGUGUGGUAGAAAAGAAAACAUACAAAUAUAGUAUAGACAAAUACAUAAAAAGAAAAGAAAAGGAAGAGUCAGAAAAACAUUUUAAGCUUUUCAGAAACCCUAGAUCAGAAAGAAGUAAUUUCUAAAAGAAAAAUUAGGGAAAGCAUUUUAAAACUCCAGUAAAGCGCAGAUAUAGUACAUAUUUAAGAAAACAAUUAGAGAAAAUCUCUAAUACCUAGGGUUUCAGAGGAACCAUAGAAUGAGAAAGGCUUUGGAAAGCUCCGAUCUUGAGUUGGAUGAGUCAGAACCAGGAUCGAAAUGCUUUGCAUACACCAGAGCAAGGCCAGAGAGGCCCCAAAACCAUGGAUCUAAAAAGAUCUGACGGACACCAUUGAGUUCAGACCUCAAAACAUUAAAUCCCAAACAUUUAAGAGUGGAGGGAGGUGAGUAUAGGCCAUUCAUGGCCUGAGAAGCCAUGGAUUCCGGUGAGAUUGCGGUUGAUGGGGGUGAGAGAAGCUAGAGUUUCAGAAACCUUCUUGAGAGUUUAAGAGUGGGAGAGUAUUCAAAAUCGAC